RNAcentral lists this ribosomal RNA (326 nucleotides) under uncultured Bacillota bacterium. RNAcentral's name for it is "bacterial SSU rRNA". It matches the Rfam family "Bacterial small subunit ribosomal RNA", at positions 28 to 351 of the family's 1533-position model. Lineage: Bacteria; Bacillati; Bacillota. The record is from RNAcentral.
GACGAACGCUGGCGGCGCGCCUAACACAUGCAAGUCGAACGGGGAGUUAGCAAUAACUUUCUAGUGGCGAACGGGUGAGUAACGCGUAGACAACCAACCUUGUAGUGGGGGACAACACUUCGAAAGGAGUGCUAAUACCGCAUAAUCUCCCGAGAUCGCAUGGUCAUGGGAGGAAAGAGCCGCAAGGCUCCGCUAUAAGACGGGUCUGCGUCUGAUUAGCUAGUUGGAGGGGUAACGGCCCACCAAGGCGACGAUCAGUAGCCGGUCUGAGAGGAUGAACGGCCACACUGGGACUGAGACACGGCCCAGACUCCUACGGGAGGCAG